Long non-coding RNA from Nicotiana tabacum (common tobacco), 814 nucleotides. RefSeq lists it as uncharacterized. The record is from RefSeq and is a predicted model, not a curated record. Lineage: Eukaryota; Viridiplantae; Streptophyta; Magnoliopsida; Solanales; Solanaceae.
UCUCAGUUCACUACAACCCAAAACCCUUAUCUCCCCUGAAGCCUAUCAUCUCCCUAAAUCCUAAUCCACAUCCUCCUUGUCUUUCUAAAAUUGAAGCCCGUCGUCUUCAAAUCACAACUGCUUCGUUUCUCCAAAACUGAAACCCAGUCGGGGGAAAUUUCUUUGAAACCCCAUCGCCAAUGGAAGGUUUUCCCCAAUGGAAGCUGAAAUGGAAGGAGAUAUAGAACAUAGUGUCCUCGAUGAUGGCGUCGUUAAGUUACCCUUUCUCUCUAUCAGUAUUAGCGCUUCUCUUCUCUCUUUUUUUUUUUCUUGUGAAAAAGCCCUAAUUAGCAAUGGAUUUAAAACCUUUUAUUUUGUAAGGGAUUGGAUGAGACGAAGAAACGAUUAAAGAAGAUGGAAUAUGAAUCUUCUGCUCUCCGUAAGAUGCAAGCCAAAGUUGCGAAAGACAUGAGUUCUGUUCAAGGUCCUCUUUUUGGUGGAGUAGCUUAGUAGAAUCAUACGGACAAAAAUUGGUGGAAUUAUAUGGAGGAUUCAUACAGCAAAGCCAAUCGAAUUAGAUGGGAUGAAGAAACGAUUAAAGGAAAUGGAAGAUGAAGUUGCUGCUCCCCGUGAGAUCCAAGCCAAAGUUGGAACAAGGCUCUCAAACUAUCACAAAUAGCAUCGACCAAGGAGGAGUUUGAAGCGCUUGGUGUUUUAUUUUCUAGUCAUUAUUAUAUGAGUACAAUGACAAUAUGAACAAUGAAGUAUUGUAUAGUAUAGUUUUUUAUUAACUUUUUAGUAAUGAAAGUAUUUAUAAUAUUUAGCUUGAGAAAUA